RNAcentral lists this ribosomal RNA (269 nucleotides) under uncultured prokaryote. RNAcentral describes it as "partial 16S ribosomal RNA". It matches the Rfam family "Bacterial small subunit ribosomal RNA", at positions 524 to 792 of the family's 1533-position model. The record is from RNAcentral.
UACGGAGGAUCCGAGCGUUAUCCGGAUUUAUUGGGUUUAAAUGGUGCGCAGGCGGGAGAUUAAGUCGGCGGUGAAAUUUUGCAGCUCAACUGUAAAAGUGCCUUCGAAACUGGUUUCCUUGAGUGUAGAUGAAGUAGGCGGAAUUUGUGGUGUAGCGGUGAAAUGCUUAGAUAUCACGAGGAACUCCGAUUGCGCAGGCAGCUUACUAAACCACUACUGACGCUCAUGCACGAAGGCGUGGGGAUCAAACAGGAUUAGAUACCCGCGUA